This 353-nucleotide ribosomal RNA is filed under the name uncultured Smithella sp. Its description in RNAcentral is "bacterial SSU rRNA". It matches the Rfam family "Bacterial small subunit ribosomal RNA", at positions 1028 to 1382 of the family's 1533-position model. Lineage: Bacteria; Pseudomonadati; Thermodesulfobacteriota; Syntrophia; Syntrophales; Smithellaceae. The record is from RNAcentral.
CUGAACACAGGUGCUGCAUGGCUGUCGUCAGCUCGUGUCGUGAGAUGUUGGUUAAGUCCCGCAACGAGCGCAACCCCUAUCUUUAAUUGCCAUCAUUCAGUUUGGGCACUUUAGAGAGACUGCCGGUGUUAAGCCGGAGGAAGGUGGGGAUGACGUCAAGUCCUCAUGGCCUUUAUGUCUAGGGCUACACACGUGCUACAAUGGGUGGUACAAAGAGCAGCUAACUCGCGAGAGUAUGCAAAUCGCAGAAAGCCGGCCUUAGUUCGGAUUGGAGUCUGAAACUCGACUCCAUGAAGGUGGAAUCGCUAGUAAUCGCGCAUCAGCAUGGCGCGGUGAAUACGUUCCCGGGCCUU